GUCGACGGGAGAAUGCUAGCUUGCUAAUAAUUCUCUAGUGGCGCACGGGUGAGUAACACGUGAGUAACCUGCCCCCAAGAGUGGGAUAGCCCCGGGAAACUGGGAUUAAUACCGCAUAAAAUCGCAAGAUUAAAGCAGCAAUGCGCUUGGGGAUGGGCUCGCGUCCUAUUAGUUAGUUGGUGAGGUAACGGCUCACCAAGGCGAUGACGGGUAGCCGGUCUGAGAGGAUGUCCGGCCACACUGGAACUGAGACACGGUCCAGACACCUACGGGUGGCAGCAGUCGAGAAUCAUUCACAAUGGGGGAAACCCUGAUGGUGCGACGCCGCGUGGGGGAAUGAAGGUCUUCGGAUUGUAAACCCCUGUCAUGUGGGAGCAAAUUAAAAAGAUAGUACCACAAGAGGAGGAGACGGCUAACUCUGUGCCAGCAGCCGCGGUAAUACAGAGGUCUCAAGCGUUGUUCGGAAUCACUGGGCGUAAAGCGUGCGUAGGCGGUUUCGUAAGUCGUGUGUGAAAGGCGGGGGCUCAACCCCCGGACUGCACAUGAUACUGCGAGACUAGAGUAAUGGAGGGGGAACCGGAAUUCUCGGUGUAGCAGUGAAAUGCGUAGAUAUCGAGAGGAACACUCGUGGCGAAGGCGGGUUCCUGGACAUUAACUGA
Molecule: ribosomal RNA, 659 nt
Filed under: uncultured bacterium
Lineage: Bacteria
Description: bacterial SSU rRNA
Rfam family: Bacterial small subunit ribosomal RNA
Source: RNAcentral